UGGGGAAUAUUGGGCAAUGGGCGAAAGCCUGACCCAGCAACGCCGCGUGAAGGAAGAAGGUCUUUGGAUUGUAAACUCUUGUCCUAUGGGAAGAAGGAAGUGACGGUACCAUGGGAGGAAGCCCCGGCUAACUACGUGCCAGCAGCCGCGGUAAUACGUAGGGGGCGAGCGUUGUCCGGAAUUACUGGGCGUAAAGGGCGCGCAGGCGGCCGAUCAAGUUAGAUGUGAAAUACCUGGGCUUAACCUGGGAACUGCAUUUAAAACUGGUUGGCUAGGAGUGCAGGAGAGGGAAGCGGAAUUCCUAGUGUAGCGGUGAAAUGCGUAGAUAUUAGGAGGAACACCAGUGGCGAAGGCGGCUUUCUGGACUGUAACUGACGCUGAGGCGCGAAAGCGUGGGGAGCGAACAGGAUUAGAUACC
Molecule: ribosomal RNA, 418 nt
Filed under: uncultured bacterium
Lineage: Bacteria
Description: bacterial SSU rRNA
Rfam family: Bacterial small subunit ribosomal RNA
Source: RNAcentral